RNAcentral lists this unclassified non-coding RNA (344 nucleotides) under soil metagenome. RNAcentral describes it as "partial contains 5.8S ribosomal RNA, internal transcribed spacer 2, and large subunit ribosomal RNA". The stretch from base 1 to 121 matches the Rfam family "5.8S ribosomal RNA", at positions 35 to 154 of the family's 154-position model. The record is from RNAcentral.
GAUGAAGAACGUAGCGAAAUGCGAUAAGUAAUGCGAAUUGCAGAAUUUCCGUGAGUCAUCGAAUCUUUGAACGCACAUUGCGCCCACUGGUAUUCCGGUGGGCAUGCCUGUUCGAGCGUCAUUAUCCUCCCUCAAACCCCGGGUUUGGUGUUGGACCCAAGUUGUGUGAACAACUGGUCUCAAAGACAAUGACGGCGUCCGUGGGACCCUCGGUGCAACGAGCUUUUAGGAGCACGCAUCGAGUUGCAAGGACCUUCCGGGCCGGUCUCCUUUACCAUUUUACAAGGUUGACCUCGGAUCAGGUAGGAAUACCCGCUGAACUUAAGCAUAUCAAUAAGCGGAGG